Molecule: ribosomal RNA, 775 nt
Filed under: uncultured Neocallimastigales
Lineage: Eukaryota; Fungi; Neocallimastigomycota; Neocallimastigomycetes; Neocallimastigales
Description: partial large subunit ribosomal RNA
Rfam family: Eukaryotic large subunit ribosomal RNA
Source: RNAcentral
UACGACUACAUAUCAGGCAUAUCAAUAAGCGGAGGAAAAGAAACUAACAAGGAUUCCCCUAGUAACGGCGAGUGAAGCGGGAAGAGCUCAAAUUUGAAAUCUUAAAGGGUUUCCCUUUACGAAUUGUAGUUUAAAGAAGUGUUUUCUGUUGGAGUUUCGGUAAAAGUUCUUUGGAAUAGGACAUCAUAGAGAGUGAGAAUCCCGUAUUUGACCGUUACUUUCCAGCUGUGUGAUACACUUUCAAAGAGUCGGAUUGUUUGGGAAUGCAGUCCAAGAUGGGUGGUAAAUUUCAUCUAAAGCUAAAUAUUGGUGAGAGACCGAUAGCGAACAAGUACCGUGAGGGAAAGAUGAAAAGAACUUUGAAAAGAGAGUUAAACAGUACGUGAAAUUGUCAAAAGGGAAGCGUUUGACACCAGUGUUGUUUAGUUGAAAAUCAAUUCAAUAGUUUUUGAUUCUAAGUAGUAUUGACUUCAUCAGCUUGCUGCUUUCUUCUCAGAAAUUAUUGAAUGCACUUUUCAGUUAACAAGUCAACAUCAAUUUCUUUUGUUGUAAAAGGGUAAGAGGAAGGUGGCUUGCGCUUCGGCUCAAGUGUUUAUAGCCUUUUAUCUCUGCAAUCGGAGAGAUUGAGGUCUGCAGCGUAGAUCCUUCGGGGUUAGAUACAUUGGUGCUAAGCUAUAGCCUUGUAUAGACAACUUGUUGACUACGCUCAGUCAUGUAGCUUACUCGCUGAUGCUAUUUUACCUACGCUUAGGAUGUUGAUCUACAGAGCGAGAGU